RNAcentral lists this long non-coding RNA (455 nucleotides) under Equus caballus (horse). Its description in RNAcentral is "lncRNA (ENSECAG00000029001.3)". The record is from RNAcentral. Lineage: Eukaryota; Metazoa; Chordata; Mammalia; Perissodactyla; Equidae.
UGGAAUGUAAUGGAACCUGCUCCAUCCUGUCACCUUAAAGAGGGGGAGAAGAGAGGAAUACACAGUGGUGCUUGUCAGGAAGAAAGGCCAUCGUCUUUUUUUGGAUGUACUCAGGUUAAGAUGGAGUCAUUAAGUGGGUCCCAAUCCAAUAUGACUGGUGUCUUUACAAGUAGAGGAGAGACCCAGAGAGGAGACCACCAAGUGAAGACACAGAGACACAAGGAAGGAAGAUGGCCAUGUGAAGACAGAGACAGAGAUGGGAGUCAUGCUGCCACCAGCCAAGGAACCCCUGGGGCCACUAGAAGCUGGAAGAGGCCAGAAGGACUUUCCCUUUGAGGUUUCAGAGGGAGCUGGGCUCUGCUCACACCUUGAUUUUAGACUUCUAGCCUCCUGAACUGUGAGAGAAUAAAUUUCUGUUGUUAUAAACCAUUCAGUUUGUGGCACUUUGUUUCGGC